UACGGAGGGUGCAAGCGUUACCCGGGAUCACUGGGCGUAAAGGGCGUGUAGGCGGGAUGUUAAGUCUGACUUUAAAGACCAUGGCUCAACCAUGGGAGUGGGCUGGAUACUGGCAUUCUAGACGACUGGAGAGGCGAUCGGAAUUACUGGUGUAGCGGUGGAAUGCGUAGAUACCAGUAGGAACGUCAAUGGCGAAGGCAGGUCGCUGGACAGUUUGUGACGCUGAGGCGCGAAAGUGUGGGGAGCAAACCGG
RNAcentral lists this ribosomal RNA (253 nucleotides) under uncultured bacterium. RNAcentral's name for it is "partial 16S ribosomal RNA". It matches the Rfam family "Bacterial small subunit ribosomal RNA", at positions 524 to 776 of the family's 1533-position model. The record is from RNAcentral.